RNAcentral lists this unclassified non-coding RNA (635 nucleotides) under Juglans regia (Persian walnut). Its description in RNAcentral is "partial external transcribed spacer". Lineage: Eukaryota; Viridiplantae; Streptophyta; Magnoliopsida; Fagales; Juglandaceae. The record is from RNAcentral.
UUCAUUUUACAUUUGGUUGGCCGCAUGGUGGCCGGGCCUGUGUGUUUGUUUGCUUCCUCUUUGACGUAGAUGUGCACGGCGGAUGGUGUUAUGGCACCCAGUGCUACGCACAUGCUUCAUUGAGGUGGCUUCCGGACCUUGAUGGCCUUGUUCCCAUGGGGUUGAACCUUGAUACGGUUUCCUUCUUGAUGCGUUGAUCUUCGUGGGGGUUCGAUCCUCGUGCAUGGCAUCCUUGAGGUGUGAGUGUGGCAUGGUGUUUGGUGCUUCUUAGCACUAGAUUCCUACGCGUGCUCUCGGCCGACGAUGGGUUGUUUGCUGGUUUGGCUUGGCUCCCAAGGGGUUGAGACCUCAACAACUGUCCCGAUUGUUACUAUUUUCUCUUCUCUUAUUUCCCAUGCCUAGCGGGGCAGGCUCGACACCACACAAUGCUUCCACACGCUCAGCUAGCCUUGUGCUUGGUUGGGGUGUGGUUCAAUUUGUUUGAUGUUGUGGUCUGGCGGACGUAACGGCGUGUGAGUGGUGACAAGGUUGUAUGUCUUGACAGGCUCCGUGCUUGUGCAUCGAACUGUUAGGCGUGCUCCUCCUCAUUUUUGCUCCUCGUGUGAAUAGCAUGUUGGGCUACCGAAGGGUUCCUG